GACAGAGGGUGCGAACGUUGUCCGGAGUUACUGGGCGUAAAGUGCACGCAGGCGGUCGAUUAAGUUUGGAGUGACAGUUGGUGGCUUAACUGCCAAAGUGCUUUGAAAACUGAUCGACUUGAGGGCUUCAGAGGGACACGGAAUUCCGGGUGGAGUGGUGAAAUGCGUAGAGAUCCGGAGGAACACCGAAGGCGAAGGCAGUGUCCUGGGGAGUACCUGACGCUCAGGUGCGGAAAGCCAGGGGAGCGAACGGG
This 254-nucleotide ribosomal RNA is filed under the name uncultured bacterium. RNAcentral describes it as "partial 16S ribosomal RNA". It matches the Rfam family "Bacterial small subunit ribosomal RNA", at positions 524 to 776 of the family's 1533-position model. The record is from RNAcentral.